Molecule: ribosomal RNA, 305 nt
Filed under: uncultured bacterium
Lineage: Bacteria
Description: bacterial SSU rRNA
Rfam family: Bacterial small subunit ribosomal RNA
Source: RNAcentral
UUUCCCUACGGGGGGCAGCAGUGAGGAAUAUUGGUCAAUGGGCGCGAGCCUGAACCAGCCAAGUAGCGUGAAGGAUGACUGCCCUACGGGUUGUAAACUUCUUUUAUAAAGGAAUAAAGUGAGGCACGUGUGCCUUUUUGUAUGUACUUUAUGAAUAAGGAUCGGCUAACUCCGUGCCAGCAGCCGCGGUAAUACGGAGGAUCCAAGCGUUAUCCGGAUUUAUUGGGUUUAAAGGGUGCGUAGGCGGUUUAGUAAGUCAGCGGUGAAAUUUUGGUGCUCAACACCAAACGUGCCGUUGAUACUGG